Scylla paramamosain (green mud crab) is the source of this 306-nucleotide long non-coding RNA. RefSeq lists it as uncharacterized. The record is from RefSeq and is a predicted model, not a curated record. The transcript is spliced from 2 exons. Lineage: Eukaryota; Metazoa; Arthropoda; Malacostraca; Decapoda; Portunidae.
CGAAUGGGUUCAGCACUCACCAGGCCAUCACGGAGCUGCUCAAGGGCCCCCAGAUCACAAAGUUUGUCUUCUGGGAAUACCUGACAAGAGGAGAGAAUCAAACUGAGUAUGAACGAUAAAGCUGAUUCAAGGAGAGGAGCUGGAUUUGUGCAGUCGGGAGCAAAAUGCAGCCUCAACUUGCUGAAUUGGCGGAGCAGCCAGAAACUGCUUUGUCAGUCUGAUCAGCUGUCUUCCCAGCAGUUUUCCAGGGUUAAAUGAGAACAACUGUCAAUAUAAAAUUGAAAAUAAAAGAAAUAUUGUUGGAAA